CGCCCUUCAGAGGGGGACGAACAGUGGAACCGACUGCUAAUACCGCAUACGAUCUAACCUCGGCAUCGAGGAUAGAUGAAAGGUGGCCUCUACAUGUAAGCUAUCACUGAAGGAGGGGAUUGCGUCUGAUUAGCUAGUUGGAGGGGUAACGGCCCACCAAGGCGAUGAUCAGUAGCCGGUCUGAGAGGAUGAACGGCCACAUUGGGACUGAGACACGGCCCAG
Molecule: ribosomal RNA, 223 nt
Filed under: uncultured bacterium
Lineage: Bacteria
Description: partial 16S ribosomal RNA
Rfam family: Bacterial small subunit ribosomal RNA
Source: RNAcentral